Molecule: ribosomal RNA, 429 nt
Filed under: uncultured bacterium
Lineage: Bacteria
Description: bacterial SSU rRNA
Rfam family: Bacterial small subunit ribosomal RNA
Source: RNAcentral
UGGGGAAUAUUGGACAAUGGGGGGAACCCUGAUCCAGCAAUGCCGCGUGUGUGAAGAAGGCCUGAGGGUUGUAAAGCACUUUCAGUGGGGAGGAGGAUUUGCAGGUUAAGAGCUGGCAAAUUGGACGUUACCCACAGAAGAAGCACCGGCUAACUCCGUGCCAGCAGCCGCGGUAAUACGGAGGGUGCAAGCGUUAAUCGGAAUUACUGGGCGUAAAGGGUGCGUAGGUGGUUUAUUAAGUUAGGUGUAAAAUUCCUGGGCUUAACCUGGGCUUGAGACUUAAAACUGAUAGACUGGAGUAUAGGAGAGGGUAGUGGAAUUUCCGGUGUAGCGGUGAAAUGCGUAGAGAUCGGAAGGAACACCAGUGGCGAAGGCGGCUACCUGGCCAGAUACUGACACUGAAGCACGAAAGCGUGGGGAGCAAACAGG